RNAcentral lists this ribosomal RNA (1454 nucleotides) under uncultured organism. RNAcentral's name for it is "16S ribosomal RNA". It matches the Rfam family "Bacterial small subunit ribosomal RNA". The record is from RNAcentral.
GCUGGCGGCGUGCCUAAUACAUGCAAGUCGAGCCUUCGGACGAGAAGCUUGCUUCUCUGAUGUUAGCGGCGGACGGGUGAGUAACACGUGGAUAACCUACCUAUAAGACUGGGAUAACUUCGGGAAACCGGAGCUAAUACCGGAUAAUAUUUUGAACCGCAUGGUUCAAAAGUGAAAGACGGUCUUGCUGUCACUUAUAGAUGGAUCCGCGCUGCAUUAGCUAGUUGGUAAGGUAACGGCUUACCAAGGCAACGAUGCAUAGCCGACCUGAGAGGGUGAUCGGCCACACUGGAACUGAGACACGGUCCAGACUCCUACGGGAGGCAGCAGUAGGGAAUCUUCCGCAAUGGGCGAAAGCCUGACGGAGCAACGCCGCGUGAGUGAUGAAGGUCUUCGGAUCGUAAAACUCUGUUAUUAGGGAAGAACAUAUGUGUAAGUAACUGUGCACAUCUUGACGGUACCUAAUCAGAAAGCCACGGCUAACUACGUGCCAGCAGCCGCGGUAAUACGUAGGUGGCAAGCGUUAUCCGGAAUUAUUGGGCGUAAAGCGCGCGUAGGCGGUUUUUUAAGUCUGAUGUGAAAGCCCACGGCUCAACCGUGGAGGGUCAUUGGAAACUGGAAAACUUGAGUGCAGAAGAGGAAAGUGGAAUUCCAUGUGUAGCGGUGAAAUGCGCAGAGAUAUGGAGGAACACCAGUGGCGAAGGCGACUUUCUGGUCUGUAACUGACGCUGAUGUGCGAAAGCGUGGGGAUCAAACAGGAUUAGAUACCCUGGUAGUUCCACGCCAUAAACGAUGAGUGCUAAGUGUUAGGGGGUUUCCGCCCCUUAGUGCUGCAGCUAACGCAUUAAGCACUCCGCCUGGGGAGUACGACCGCAAGGUUGAAACUCAAAGGAAUUGACGGGGACCCGCACAAGCGGUGGAGCAUGUGGUUUAAUUCGAAGCAACGCGAAGAACCUUACCAAAUCUUGACAUCCUUUGACAACUCUAGAGAUAGAGCCUUCCCCUUCGGGGGACAAAGUGACAGGUGGUGCAUGGUUGUCGUCAGCUCGUGUCGUGAGAUGUUGGGUUAAGUCCCGCAACGAGCGCAACCCUUAAGCUUAGUUGCCAUCAUUAAGUUGGGCACUCUAAGUUGACUGCCGGUGACAAACCGGAGGAAGGUGGGGAUGACGUCAAAUCAUCAUGCCCCUUAUGAUUUGGGCUACACACGUGCUACAAUGGACAAUACAAAGGGCAGCGAAACCGCGAGGUCAAGCAAAUCCCAUAAAGUUGUUCUCAGUUCGGAUUGUAGUCUGCAACUCGACUACAUGAAGCUGGAAUCGCUAGUAAUCGUAGAUCAGCAUGCUACGGUGAAUACGUUCCCGGGUCUUGUACACACCGCCCGUCACACCACGAGAGUUUGUAACACCCGAAGCCGAAGGAGUAACCUUUUAGGAGCUAGCCGUCGAAGGUGGGAC